AGCAGCCGCGGUAAUUCCAGCUCCAAUAGCGUAUAUUAAAGUUGUUGCAGUUAAAAAGCUCGUAGUUGAAUUUCGGGAUUGGCGCAUCGGUCGUGCCUCACGGGGUAUGAACUGGUGCAGUCAAUUUCUCACCUUCUGGAGAACCGCGAUGUCCUUAAUUGGAUGCCGCGGGGAACCAGGACCUUUACUUUGAAAAAUUAGAGUGUUUAAAGCAGGCAUUUUUGCUUGAAUACAUUAGCAUGGAAUAAUAAAAUAGGACGGCAUGGUUCUAUUUUGUUGGUUUCUAGGACCACCGUAAUGAUUAAUAGGGAUAGUUGGGGGCAUUAGUAUUCAAUUGUCAGAGGUGAAAUUCUUGGAUUUAUUGAAGACUAACUACUGCGAAAGCAUUUGCCAAGGAUGUUUUCAUUAAUCAAGAACGAAAGUUAGGGGAUCGAAGACGAUCAGAUACCGUCGUAGUCUUAACCAUAAACUAGUGCCGACUAGGAAUCAGACG
RNAcentral lists this ribosomal RNA (493 nucleotides) under uncultured Entrophospora. RNAcentral's name for it is "SSU rRNA". It matches the Rfam family "Eukaryotic small subunit ribosomal RNA", at positions 569 to 1059 of the family's 1831-position model. Lineage: Eukaryota; Fungi; Glomeromycota; Glomeromycetes; Entrophosporales; Entrophosporaceae. The record is from RNAcentral.